ACUCCUACGGGAGGCAGCAGUGAGGAAUAUUGGUCAAUGGAGGGAACUCUGAACCAGCCAUCCCGCGUGUAGGAAGACGGCCUUAUGGGUUGUAAACUACUUUUAUACAGGAAGAAACGUACCCUCGUGAGGGUGCCUGACGGUACUGUAGGAAUAAGCACCGGCUAACUCCGUGCCAGCAGCCGCGGUAAUACGGAGGGUGCAAGCGUUACUCGGAAUCACUGGGCGUAAAGAGCGUGUAGGCGGGUUAUUAAGUCAGAAGUGAAAUCCUAUGGCUCAACC
This 282-nucleotide ribosomal RNA is filed under the name uncultured bacterium. RNAcentral describes it as "partial 16S ribosomal RNA". It matches the Rfam family "Bacterial small subunit ribosomal RNA", at positions 335 to 614 of the family's 1533-position model. The record is from RNAcentral.